GUUCAGGGUCACUCGUAUCACCUUUCUUCACCAUUACAAUGAGAACACAAAUCCAUGAAGGAAAAAAGAUUUAUGAAACACAUUUCAGUGCAAAUAAAACAUCUUCAUGUUCCCUCGAUGGUCUUGGUGUGAGAAAUGAAAUAAAAACAAACAUUUUAAGGAUAAAAGACAAACAGGAAACAGCUGAUUGCAGACACAGCUUUAGUUACUUAUUGAAAUUCACAAAAUCAUUUUGUUGUUUUUGAAAGAGUUUAAUGUCAAUACAAAGUCUCAGCAGUUGGAGCACUUACUGACAUAACUAAGACUAUUUUGGUGUCACUCAGCUCUUUAUUUUUUGACCUUUCAGCAAAUUUCUUUAUACGUGACUUUCAAUCUGUUUCUUGUUAAACACAGACCACCAGAUUCAAGUAAUGAACUGCUGACAGGGCACUAACCAUUAAAUCCUUUUUUUAAAGAGUGCAACAAUAAAGCUGAGCUUCCUUUGUUGCUGCCAGGUGCUCUCAGAGACAAACAGCCCGCAGAUGUAGCUGGUCUGAGCUCCGUGAGCUGUAAAAAGUAUUGCCAGCAGAAUAAAAUCAAACAAAAACAGUUUAUUGUCUUCAGCACAAGCUACAUGUAAUGUGGUUCAGCAUAAGUUACUAAGCUGACCUGCUGUAAAGAGACACUGAAAACUCUGUGUCCACAUAUCUGUCUCAGUCAGCGGCUUCUCUUUCUGUUAUUUAACCUGAGGAGGUUUAAAACAGAAGUUUUGUUUUCAGCACACCUGGCAGCAACAGAAGGAGCAGCACCUGACCCACAUAACAUGAAACUUGUUUCAUGUCAGUACAAUCAGCUCUGCUGCUGCUCGGUGGUUUCCAUCCUCCUGUCCCAAAUGGCUUCUUUCAAAUUCUUCCUCUUUUUGUCUCUAAUCUCAGAGUUAACAGCUCUUCAGCAGGAUGUUCAGGUGAAGCUUGGAGAGGACGUCACUCUCCAGUGUCAGAUUUCCACAGAAGAAAUAAUCUCAGUGCUGAAGUGGAGCAGAGCUGACCUGAACACAGACGGCUACGUCUACUUCUACAGGAACAAACGCUCCUAUGAAAACUACCAACAUCCAUCUUUUCAUGGCCGAGUGAAGCUGAAGGACCCGGAGAUGAAGGAUGGAGACGUUUCUCUGAUCCUGAAGAAGGUCACGUUUAAUGACACUGGGAUGUAUGAGUGUCACGUAGCAGUGAGGAACCCUGGGAGAAGUAAAAGAGUUCACACUGAGAUCAGUCACUUCAUCAACCUCACAGUCACAGGUGAAACACAUGAAAGCGUGUCAGAGAAACGAGUCUUGGAAAGAGGAGACGCAGAUGAAAAUAUGGAUGAUACUGAAAGGGUCGGCGCUCCAUCUCUUCAGGUUGUUGUUCCUGUUGUUGUUGUUGCUCUUUUUGCCGUUGGUUUUGUGACACACCAACAAACUUGUCAACAUAAGAAGCAACGUCCAGUCAAGCUUCCUACUGAGGACUCAGAUGAAGGACUAUGAAGCUGCAGAAAUGUAUAAACUUGCUUGAUGAAAACUAAAGCACUGACAUUAACUCCUUUUAUAAAAUGUAUGUAUAUACAGAUCUUAAUAAAUUUGUUAGACCACAUCAUAAAAACAGAAACCACACACAGCAUUUUAAUACGAACUCUUUGUUUUCAGUGAAUUUUAAAAAAUACUCUUCAGAGUAAAUUUACAUUUUAAACUCAAACCUAAACCUGCACACUGUAAUUAUAUCAUAUAAAUAAUAAUAAUAAUUAUGUUCGCAUGAAAACAAUUUCUCAACAAAGAGGUUUCUGCUGGACAGAAACAUACAAUAAAUUAUUUUAGUAAUCAAACUGCAGCACUUCACAUUAAACUCCAUCUUUCACAGCAGUGUCAGUUUUAUUAAUUGUUAAGAGAUUUUCAAAUGUUUUAAGUAUUACUCCCACUUCCAUUUGUACGUUAUUGAAAGUUUAUCUUUAAUUUCAGUGUUAAUAGUUGUUUACCCAUUUAUUCUUUCCAUUUAAUCGUAUUUUAUGAUUUUACUGUUUCACCAGAAGUGAAGCUGAAGUAAAGACAAAAGCAUAGUGUUCUCAGAUAUGAUUUACCCAGUACAUCUCCUCUGCACCUGGCUCUCUACGAGCCGUUUCACUCCCAGGAAGGGGAGAGCAGGACGUUCUUAUCUACACUCCCAAAUACCAAGAGGGGCCCAUUCUUCAGAAUCACACACACAGACAGACACACACACACACACACACACACACACACACACAGAAAGCGGCAUAUAUGUGAUAUUUAGUGAUUAUCUACAGAACACACACACCCAGCUAAACUGGAACAAACCUGUUUCUCAGAGACAAAUCUUUGUCUCCUCCUUAAACAGUUGAAGCCACUAUGUGACUAUAAAUAAAAUCUCUGCCUGCGCUUGGGGUGGGAUCUCCUCGAGAUCUCACCCAGCGUGCGCACGUUGUUACCAUCCAAACUGUUUUGAGUGUCUUUAUUUCGCCUGAAGAAUGUCUUGUUCAAAUAUUUACUCUUUACAUUUAUUUGGUCCUUCGAGCCGGAUUUGGACAUUGAAUUUUAACUAAUCUUGUGCUCCAACAGAGUGACCUCGUCGUUUCCUGGAUUCGUGGACCCACGCUGCAAAGUCUGUCGCGACAGCCUGUUUCUAGUGAAACAGUAAAGACCAACUACGUGAAUUCGCCGUUGGCCAGCGUUUUUAGCAAGAGGUCCACGAUCCCAGGGAGCGAGGAGGAUUCUCUCUGACCGGCAUUUUCAUCCGAACCAGGUGAAUAUAAACACUCAAGAACACAUUGCGGCUAAAAUCGGUUUUUAGGUUGACACGGUUCUUAAGAGACUCGUCCUUUAAGGACUGGAAGUCGGGAAAAGACUCGUCCUUUAAGGUCUGGAAGUCGGGUAUUAAGACUCGCCUGUAACACGGAACUGGCAGUCCCCUGGGAGACUCGUUCCGCAAUUAAAAGGCUGGAAGUCAGGGAUCUCACUCUAAGAGUGAAUGGUAAAUAAAGAACGUGUCAAUUAAAAUAGGAUUAUAGUACCGCGUGUGAAGUUUAUGUGUUGUUGAGGAGUGAGUGACCUUUUGAAUAGAAACAAUAGGUUUCUGCACCACUCUUACUGUUUUCUGUGUUGACCGAUGUACUGGUGAGAAGGGGUCAAAGGUUGCGCUUCAACGCAUAAAAAUUAAGGCCGCCUGGGUCUAGACCAGGGUAGAAGGCUGCCUUAAUAACCUCCCCGACUCUAAUAUCAGUGAAGGUCACACAGAGUGUAUGUUGGCAGUAUUAAUAAAUAAAAGCAAAACAAGGUGUUUCCAAAUACAAUAAAUCGAAAUAAAUUAUAAGCAAUUUACAAUGGAUAACAACCUGUAAACUGGUAUUAACAAUGAAAUAUAGUUGGCAGGACGACCGUGCCUAGAAUGGAUAGAAUGCAUGAAACCAGAUAACUCACACAAACACAUAUUAAAUGAAAUAGAGAGAUGCAUAAGGUAUAUUAAGGUUGUGUCAUUGUUCAGCCAAGGAAAGUGUGUGAAAAGGAAAAUGUCUCCAGCUUGGGAAAGGGUGAGACUGCAGCUCACCCUCAGCCCUUGGUGGACACAAAUAAAAUAUAAAUAAGAUAUAAAAUAAUAAACUAUUGUAUAUUUGUAAUAUACUAUUGAUGUUAUAUAGAAAUAAGAGAAAAUAAUUAAGAGAUAAGAAUAUUAAUAAUAAAUUAAUAAUGACAUGAUGUUAAUAAGAAGAAGCAUGUUAUUCAGUUAUGAUGUGAGGUGGAUGAUUGAUAAAAGUAGUCUGAUUCAAGCUUAAGGUUUGCUCAAACUCAGUACAAUGAUAUAGGAGAUGAAGGAAAUAAAGAAAAUAUGUAAACUAAUUAAGUGCAUAGAGACACUUGACCCGCUUGUAAACCUGUCAUCCUAGAUGAGAUUUUGUUAAGAUGAAGAGCAAACCUAUACUACCAAGCUAAUGAGCAAGUUACACACUCUUUAUUUUGUAUUAAUUUUUUUUUGUUUUUCAGAACAGAAGCUGCAUGAUAUUAAAAGCUCACACAUGCAGCAGUCUGUGAGCUCAGUUUUUUCCUCACACUUCUGCUUUGUUUUUGACAGCAGUUCUUUUUCUUUUUGUGUCCCAACUCGUGUGUAAAGCGUUCAUGCCAUCAGCAACUUGUUUUUGUUUUUGUUUGUUUGUUUUGUUGGUUUGAAAAACAAAUUUGUGAUCAUACUUGUGGAUCACAGUGACACGAAAUGAUUAGGCACAUGAUUUACUGAUGCCUAGUUUUAGAGCUGUGAGCUACAGCUGUAAGCAAUGCAAAGUUUUUCCCAAUUUAGAAGUUUGACAUAUGUAACAUGUAUGAGAUAUAUGAAUUAUUUUAAAACGAAAUAGAAAUUGUCCAAAAUGCCUUAAGAAAAUAUGUAGUGCUGUAUCUACAGAGAAAAAAGGAAGAAGAAGCAUUCAGUAACUUGGAAAUAGCCUUUCUACUUGCAUGUAGAUGGAAGUGCAGGUUACGUGAAAGCUGUUUUAACACAGGCAUUUGGAGAAAAACAACGUCUGCUUGCAUUUUACUUCUGUAAAUUAGACUCUGUUGCGUCAGGCCUGCCCACAUGUGUGCCAGCCGGUGUAGCUGCAGCAGAGGCAGUAAAAAGUCAGCUGACAUUGUUUUAGGACACACUUUAAUCAUCAAAGUGCCCCAUGCAGUGAUUUCAAUUUUAAAUCUAAGCCAAUUUGUCUUACCUGACACAUGUGAGACAACUCUCAAAUGUUGGACACUUAUUGUCGCUAUAUGGAAAGUUCAACAAAGAGUUUGGUUAGUCUGGAGAAACAAGAAAUAUGUGUGCCUGUGGUAUGUGUAACAGGAACUACAUGCCCAUAAAAGGAGCUGACUGUGUCAAGGACGCAGACAGACAGAGAGACACACAGACAGUCAGUAUGUUUUUUCAGCAGAUCAAGCCGCAAAAGCAGCAUUAGUGACACACGGUUCCACUCAUGUGUCAACCGGAGGGAGAUGGUAGAUAUAAUCUCUAAACAUUUCUUUACUCAAAAUUUCAAAAAUUCAGCAAAAGAAUUUGUCAGAACAUGCAUGAUUUGCCAAAAACAUAAUGCACAGGGAAACCUCAGACCAAGAAGAGGUAACUUUCCCACACCACCUCAUCCUUUUCAUACCAUUCACAUGGAUUUUAUUGAGCCAAAUGAAGCCAAGGUUCAAAAAUACGCUCUAGUGAUUAUAGACGUGUUCUCAAAAUGGCCAGAAAUUUAUCCUGUGAAAAAGGCAGAUGCAAUUUCUGUAGCAAAAUGCCUAUGCAGCCAUUUUGUUCCAACAUAUGGCAUCCCCACUCUGAUAAGAUCAGACAAUGGGACACAUUUUGUUAAUGAAGUAAUCAGCAAGGUCUCUGAAGCACUAGGAUUCAGUAUCAAACACCACUGUGCUUACCACCCUCAAAGUGCCGGACUAGUGGAAAGAACUAACGGCACGAUAAAACAGAGAAGAAACAGGGAGACUAUGGGCUGAAUGUAAAGGUCUAGUGAAAAUGUGGAUGAGAUUAACACAAAACUCACAGAAACUAACACCAUUUGAAAUAUGGAAGACAUGGAAGACUUUUUCCCACUACUAAUACUGAGUGAACCAGUAAAACAAAUCAGCUAGAGAGACUACUCUAGCAGAGUGGAUGGAAAGGUUGCUAGAAAAUACAGAAACUGUGUUGAACAACAAACUGCUGUGUGACUCUUCUCCAGUAUCUUGCAGGUUAAAGGCAGGUGAUUGGAUCCUGAUAAGGGUGCUCCAGAGGAAAAAAAAUGGGAGCUCACCCCGUUGGGAAGGACCCUACCAAGUACUCCUGACCACACCAACAGCCUGCAAAAUAGCAGAAAGACCAUCCUGGAUCCAUCAAAGCCACUGUAAAGGAGUAAGCGAGAGCAUAGACUAACCGGACACUGACUUCCUUACCCUCGGGUGAUUCGUCAGGUGAAGGAAGUGCCGAUUGGGUAUAUCCCGCACUUUUUCUUCUUGCCUAAGUCCCCUGAGACGUGAGGUAAGCCAGGUAAACAUGAAGUCGCUCUUAAUCUCACUAACUCUGACAGUCCUAGUGGCAGGAUGUCUCAUCCCACUGAAGAUGGAUCCGAGGGAACGAACAAAGAAAGCUUGGACACAUGACAACUCACACCUGGACAAGAUGACGCAGGACCACAAUCAUCCCUGGAUGAACAACGCGUGGUACAGAUAUGUAUACAACCGCACGACAGAAAAGAACUACUUUGUUUGCUCACACAUGCCUGCAACUUCUGUCCAUGCAAUUAUUUAUGGGAAGGUUCCGUCACUUGAAACGAGCAUGUGCAUUCACAUGAAAGUCGUAAAUGGAACUUGUUCACAUAGAGACAUGUUUAUAGUGAGAGCCCCAGCGUUUUCACUGUUGACCUACGACGUGAAUAACCUAACAGCUACAAACUGGACGUGUGACGAAGCACACUGGGUGAACGUGUCAAACAAAAGAAUAAUGACAUUUCCAGCUUUCUUGCAGAGUGAAGAACGUCACCCGAUAUGUUUCGACUUCUCAUACGGAAGGACAAAACUUGGUCAAACCAAGAACUGCAGUAUAGUCUGGAAGGACAAUGCCGAUGCAGCUAUGACUUUUAAGCGUGGCACAUACUGGGUCCAGGGGACAGCUUGGGUGUGUGGACAACGUGCCUACUUCAUACUGCCACCCGGAUGGACGGGCACCUGUGCCCUAAUCUUCAUUUCAGAUCACACCUUCAGGAUGUCAGCUGUAAAUAGCUCUCAGACUACAAGACGACGACGAGACGUCUCCGCAGUGCAACCAUAUGACCCCAUCUAUGGCAGUGAUGUGCCAGAGGAAUUUAAGCUUUGGACUGUUCCUGAAUGCCUCGUGCAAAAUCAACAAUCAACAAAAUGAAGAGAUUGAUGCCCUGCGCAUAACUGUGAUGCAACACCGAGUCGCACUGGACAUGAUUCUGGCUGAAAAAGGAGGACUCUGUAUACUCUUUAACAACACAUGCUGCACAUACAUUCCAGAUAAUGUACACUCAUCCAACAUGACUGAUGCAGCACAAGUAAUUUAUUGUAUGAGGGAAAAUUCUAUUUCUAAUAUAGUAAAUUGGGAGAUGCUUUCUGCUUGACUGAUGCUCUGAGCAUACUUAGACAACUCAGGGAUGCACAACAACAAGACUACGUCACAAAUACAGAAGACUGGCUCACGUGGUUGUUAAGCAGCUCUUGGAAAUCCCUGCUGUUUAAAGGACUUGUUUUAGUUGGUGUUCUACUAUUGUUAUUGUGUUUUUCCACUUCAUGCGUCAUACCUUGUUUGAAGAACAUGGUGUCAAAAAUGGUAACUGCUUCAAUUAAUGCUUACAUCACCCUACCACAGAAUGAAGAAGAUGAUAAUGAGAUAGACAUUUGGAUAUAACAUAUUCACAAAACCCACUAAUUAAUGAUGUCCUGGCUAAAAAUGUUUUACAAGUGGCCAUAGACUGAUACAGUGUUAGUGAGUUGCUAUGUAUAUAUAUAUAUAGGAGAAAAGUUAAAAUGUGUAAAACAAAUUAACAACAGGAGGGAUAUGUUAAGAGAUUUUCAAAUGUUUUAAGUAUUACUCCCACUUCCAUUUGUACGUUAUUGAAAGUUUAUCUUUAAUUUCAGUGUUAAUAGUUGUUUACCCAUUUAUUCUUUCCAUUUAAUCGUAUUUUAUGAUUUUACUGUUUCACUAGAAGUGAAGCUGAAGUAAAGACAAAAGCAUAGUGUUCUCAGAUAUGAUUUACCCAGUACAUUUCCUCUGCACCUGGCUCUCUACGAGCCGUUUCACUCCCAGGAAGGGGAGAGCAGGACGUUCUUAUCUACACUCCCAAAUACCAAGAGGGGCCUGUUCUUCAGAAUCACACACACAGACAGACACACACACACACACACAGAAAGCUGCAUAUAUGUGAUAUUUAGUGAUUAUCUACAGAACACACACACCCAGCUAAACUGGAACGAACCUGUUUCUCAGAGGCAAAUCUUUGUCUCCUCCUUAAACAGUUGAAGCCACUAUGUGACUAUAAAUAAAAUCUCUGCCUGCGCUUGGGGUGGGAUCUCCUCGAGAUCUCACCCAGCGUGCGCACGUUGUUACCAUCCAAACUGUUUUGAGUGUCUUUAUUUCGCCUGAAGAAUGUCUUGUUCAAAUAUUUACUCUUUACAUUAAUGUAGCAGAUUUUUGGAGUCUGUUUCUGAAUGUUUGCACAGAUUUGACUGACCUCAGGUCAGCAUGCAGCUUGUUCACAAGAAUGGGACCACGGUCACUGAAUGCACCUUCAGCACAUUUACAUCUAAUACUGGGAACAGUUAAAAAAUCCGAAGCCCUGACUGUAAAUCCAUUUAUAAACACACUGCAGGCCAUGAUUUCUAGUCUACUUCUCCUUUGUGGAUUGAGUCAGGAAGAAUUAACUUCUUUGUUUUCUUUUAUUUACUUUUAUUAAUGUGAAAUCAUUUAGGGAAAAAAAAGUUAUGCAGCAAUAGUUCAAUCAACAUCCAUAAUUAAGCACCAACCUUUAGUUUAAAAGGUUGCAGAGAUUUGAUUCAUUGUUUUCACACACAGAGUCGACACCUUUAUUCUUAUAUCAUCUUUGGGAUGUUCUGGAGAAGACUGCAGCUGUUUGAUUCUCCAGUUAUCAAUACUUUACAUAUAAUUACUGAAAUUUAUGCCUCAUCAAAUGUUUCCCUUCAUCAAAGUCAAAGGCAGUGUAUUGAAAGGUUGAAGGAAAGUGUGCAUGUCCAGAUUAUCCAGUUGCAUUAAUUUAUGCAAUUAUGCAUUAUGCAGCUGUUCCUGAUGUGCUGAUGGCAGCGUUACUACACAGAAGUUUAAAUCAGGAAGUUCAAAGCAUUUCUGCAUCAACAGGAACUGUCUGAAUGAUUAAACAUGUAAAUGUUUUGCAAAUAUGCAGCUCCUCUGUGAACUGUAAACAUUAAUGCACAUCAAUGAAAAAUACUGUUGAAAUUUAAAGUAUUUUUUUAAUAUCUUUGACUUUUAAAUGAAUCGAUUCAGGUUUAGUUAUCAGAGAGUUUGUGUUCUUUCUUUUACACUAAAGGAAUCCGGGUGAUUUUUAAUGAUAAUUUAUUUACUUGUAUCAAAGGUACCAUUGAAACAUUGUGUACAUGAUAGAUGUCCAACAUGUUGACAAUGAAAUGAAAGCAGCUGCUUUUAUGUCAUUAUUUUUUGGGUCCAGGCCAUUUAUGCACAGUUAACCAAAAUGAGCUCAACACCCCCAUCUUCAAUCACUUUGUGCUUAAAAAUCUUUUAAAUGUUUAAUAUUUAAAAGGGAUUGUUAAACCUCACUGUGAACAUGAUGUGAAAUAAACAAACCCUCUGUGGAGCCUAAACUGAGUAGAAAAAAAGUAUGUGUAUUUGUACACACUUUAAAAUGGUACUUAAAGUAAUUUUUCUUCCUCUGGUGGUCAUGAAUGAAACAAUCAGUGUUUUUUUGAACAGCUGUUAAUGUAAUGUUCCAGUUUGACCUCCGGGUGGCAGUGUUGUCUCACGUUGGCUAAGCAUACAGAAGAAUAUACUGUAAGAACAUGUGUUUAAACAUUAAAAAGUGAUUUUUUAAAAAACGAUUUUUUCCCUUCUUCCCCAGAUUCAACAAAAGGCACACCACUCAGAAUUCUUCUAAACAUUUGGAUAUUAAUAUUUGUCCCCCACACCACAAAGAAGACAUAUAAUCUUAAUUACAGAUCAGUGCAGAAGAAUUUAUCCACUGCAAUAUUUCAGUUUGACCUCAUAUGGCAGUGUGUUUUUUACGACCCAGACUAUAAAUAACAUCCAGCCAUCCAUUCGCUUCCAAUUAUCCUUUUCAGGGUCGCGGGGGGUGCUGAAGCCUAUCCCAGCUGUCAUGCAGUUUGUGGGGAUAGCUUAACUGAUUGGUCUAAAUUGCCCAUAGGUGUGAAUGCGGGAGUGAAUGUGAGUGCGAAUGGUUGUCUGUCUCUGUUAGCCCUGCGACAGACUGGGCAUUAACAGGGAAAGGGGGGCACAAAUAAAUACUUUUCUUUCUUAAUCUCAUUUAAAAUAUCUAGCUUUAAUAAAUAAUUAUCUGAAUCUUCAAACCAAAGUUUUUAUCUGACGUAAAAUGUAUAGAAAUCAUACAUAUACCAACAAGACAGUUGUCAUCACUGUCACAGCAGCGUUUGUUUUCAUUCAAAGGCUUUAUGGCUUUUCCUGUAAUACCUGGUGGGCUGGUCUGUAGUCAAAAUGCCUGGGCCGAUUUUUUGUCCCAGUCCAGCCCUGGUUGCAGUUCUAAUUCAGCCAUCCCACACCACACAGCACUGAGACACUUCUCUUUGACAAAAAACAAACAAAAUAAAACUAUCCUGUUGGCUCUCUUUCAUUUUAAAACCUCAUAUAUGGCAGAAUGGUCCAAAAGUUUAAUGUGAACAUUCUGCAAGAAGUACUGAGUUUCAGGCAUGGUACUUUGACACAGUACAUUUAUGUGUUUAGAAAUAAAAGCUGCACAUAAAUAACAAAGCGCUGCUUCUUUUUCUCCAGUUGUUUAAACUAUUUGUAGAGACAGAGAGAAUCAGUCUGAUCACUGGAACCAGUAACAAAUGUACUGAGCAACAUACUGACAUCACUGCUGAGCCAAGUUGACCAGGAUACAAACACGAUUAACACUAUAAUGAAUAGUUUAACACCGGUUUAACAUUUGCCUUGUAAAUCAGGUUAACAAUGAAAUACAUGUUGGUGGCUGUUUGAUUCAGAGGUCUCUUUUAUCUUUAGUUUUU
Molecule: long non-coding RNA, 10744 nt
Organism: Oreochromis aureus
Lineage: Eukaryota; Metazoa; Chordata; Actinopteri; Cichliformes; Cichlidae
Source: Ensembl